Molecule: ribosomal RNA, 386 nt
Filed under: uncultured eukaryote
Lineage: Eukaryota
Description: SSU rRNA
Rfam family: Eukaryotic small subunit ribosomal RNA
Source: RNAcentral
AGCUCCAAUAGCGUAUAUUAAAGUUGUUGCGGUUAAAAAGCUCGUAGUUGGAUUUCGGCGAUCAGGGGCCGGUGAUAUAUUUGUAUCUACUGGCCCAUUUGGUCGUAUUUUUGAAAGAGGGUUUGGGGUCCCCUUCACUGGGUGUCCUAGGUCGCUUUCAGGUUUACUUUGAAAAAAUUAGAGUGCUCAAAGCAGGCUUUAACGCUUGAAUAUUCGUGCAUGGAAUAAUAGAAUAGGAAGUUCGUUUCUAUUUUGUUGGUUUUAGGAUAACGACUUAAUGAUUAAUAGGGACAAUCGGGGGAAUUAGUAUUCAAACGACAGAGGUGAAAUUCUUGGACCGUUUGAAGACUAACUACUGCGAAAGCAUUUUCCAAGAGUGUUUUCAU